RNAcentral lists this ribosomal RNA (617 nucleotides) under uncultured archaeon. RNAcentral's name for it is "bacterial SSU rRNA". It matches the Rfam family "Archaeal small subunit ribosomal RNA", at positions 5 to 628 of the family's 1478-position model. The record is from RNAcentral.
CGGUUGAUCCUGCCGGACCUGACUGCUAUCGGAUUGAUACUAAGCCAUGUGAGUCAUUGUAGCAAUACAAGGCAGACGGCUCAGUAACACGUAGCCAACCUACCCUAUGGACGGGGAUAACCUCGGGAAACUGAGGAUAAACCCCGAUAGAUCAUUAUACCUGGAACGGUUUAUGGUCCAAAUGAUUCGUCGCCGUAGGAUGGGACUGCGGCCUAUCAGCUUGUUGGUGAGGUAAUGGCCCACCAAGGCUAUUACAGGUACGGGCUCUGAGAGGAGAAGCCCGGAGAUGGGUACUGAGACACGGACCCAGGCCCUAUGGGGCGCAGCAGGCGAGAAAACUUUGCAAUGUGCGCAAGCACGACAAGGUUAAUCCGAGUGAUUCCUGCUAAAGGAAUCUUUUGCUAGUCCUAAAAACACUAGCGAAUAAGGGGUGGGCAAGUUCUGGUGUCAGCCGCCGCGGUAAAACCAGCACCUCAAGUGGUCAGGAGGAUUAUUGGGCCUAAAGCAUCCGUAGCCUGCUCUGUAAGUUUCCGGUUAAAUCCAUUAGCUUAACUGAUGGGCCGCCGGAAAAACUGCAAAGCUAGGGAGUGGGAGAGGUAGACGGUACUCGGUAGGAA